RNAcentral lists this transfer RNA (72 nucleotides) under Candidatus Neomicrothrix parvicella. RNAcentral describes it as "tRNA-Gln". It matches the Rfam family "tRNA". Rfam says of the family: Transfer RNA (tRNA) molecules are approximately 80 nucleotides in length. The record is from RNAcentral. Lineage: Bacteria; Bacillati; Actinomycetota; Acidimicrobiia; Acidimicrobiales; Microthrixaceae. RNAcentral also lists the same sequence under 4 other names.
UCGGGGGUGGUGUAAUCGGCAACACAGGUGGUUCUGGUCCAUCUAUUGGGGGUUCGAGUCCUCCCCCCCGAG